UCCACCACCUUAGAGCGAGAGAAAGAUGCAAAUGUAUAGAGAGAGAAGAUAGUGAGAGAGAAUCGUGAGGGAGUGGUGGCUGACCACCGCCUUUGGUGGCGGAGCCACGCCGACGCCACCUGAUUCCGGCGCCUCUACAACCCCAACUGACGAACAACGGCUGAGGGUUUAAGAGAGAGACGCUGUGUAGACGAUGGUCAUGACGACGCUUUGUGGGGUAAUCCAAAUACCCACCGCUUUUUCUCCUUUCUUCAAAACCUAACCCUAACCCACAUGAAAGAGAGUCUGGAGAGAAAGAGAGGGGAGAAGAGAUAGGAGACAGAGGCGGAGAAGUCUUCGGCUUCGACACGGUGGACGCGCCGAACAUGGCUCUCCAGCGUCGACAUAACAGACGGGUCCGCCGUACAUGGUGGUGGAGUUAUGUCGGUUCUCCGGCGUCGGCAACGGUGAAGAGGCAUCCACCGGGUUUUUCGGUGCAAAUGAGAUUCCGACAGUGAGUUACGAUUUUGAGCCUGCCGUAACGGUGGAACCUCCGGUGGUGUAUCAGAAUAAACAGUCAGAUGUGGAUUUGGAGGCUGCGACAGAAUUAAAAGAGAAACAACCGGUCAACCGAACAUGGAUCUCCGGCGUCGAAGGUGUUAUAUUCGAGAUUAAAUGAGGCAAAGGAAAAAUAUUCUGAUGGAUGGCUUUGUUUUUGGACUAGCCCAUCAGAAUUUGUAAUUCCAUUAGCCAAGUACUAUAAAGCAGUCUACAACAACCAGAUAUCUCUUGGCAUGUGGUUCCAAUUGAUGUUCGAGACUAAAGAACUGGGAACAAGAAUGUAAAGAGGCAUAUGGGUACGAUUACUUAGGCAUAUGGGUAUGAUUACUGGUAUUAGUGAUCUGAAUGGUGUUCGAUGGAAGAACUCGCAAUGGCAUAACCUACAGGUUUGCUGGCACGAGGCAACUGCUGGCGAAAGGCAUGACCGUGUAUCGAUUUGGGAGAUUGAGCCCAUUACAACCCUUUUUCAUUCAUAUAUCCCACCCUUUUAGCAAACAAAACGACCCAACCAAGAAGGAAUGUUAGGUGGCGAGUUAGCGGAUAUUGAUAAUAGGUUAAAGAGAACAAAGUUGUGUCUUUAGUCUAAUGGAUGAACACGCAGCAAAACCCGUCUAUGGCUAAUCAAAUCCAACCGGGUUAUUUGAACCUGUUGAUGUGAAAGUCGAAAAUUCAAAUUCUCAUUUUUUCCCUUCUUUCUUUCAACUAUUUAAAUUCAUAAGUUAUAAAGUUAUCUUCUUUAUAAUCGCAGAUUGAUAAACAUGGGAGCUGGUCAUGUAAGCGUGAAGUAUGGCUUCAAAAAACUGAACCGUUGUCGACGAUGCAUCAAGAAUGAUCCAGUUUGGCCAUCCAGCAUUGAUGUUUUAUCUAUAGCAAGGUUUUGCAUUAAAAGGACU
Long non-coding RNA from Helianthus annuus (common sunflower), 1433 nucleotides. RefSeq lists it as uncharacterized. NCBI's taxonomy places the organism in Eukaryota, Viridiplantae, Streptophyta, Magnoliopsida, Asterales, Asteraceae. The record is from RefSeq and is a predicted model, not a curated record. The transcript is spliced from 6 exons.